CGGCCAGAUCACGUUAAAAAAAAGUUCUCAUCCGUUCACCAAAAUUAAGCAACGUUGAGCCUGGUCAGUACGUAGAUGGGUGACCGUUUGGGAAUACCGGAUGCUGUGA
Acanthosepion pharaonis is the source of this 109-nucleotide non-coding RNA. The record is from the annotation of a GenBank genome assembly. Lineage: Eukaryota; Metazoa; Mollusca; Cephalopoda; Sepiida; Sepiidae.